GCUAGUUAGUUUACUGACAACUUAAAAAAAAAAAAAAAUAAUUUUUAAUUUAUUUUUUUUUUAUUAAAAGAUUGUUUAUAUCGUUAUUAGAUUUGAUUAUAUGAGAUUAGAUUGUUGGUGAAAAUGAUAGUUUACCAAAUCUUAUCUUUAGUUGGUCUGGGAGGACGAUCAACCACAUUGGGAUAGAAAAUAAGGCCCAACUUUCUUCUAAGUGGCAGCAGUAGGGAAUCUUGGACAAUAUGCGAAAAGCAUGAUCCAGCGAUAUCGCGUAGAGGAUGAAGAAGUUCUCGUAAACUUUUAAUUCAUAUUAUGAGAAUAUCUGCCCUAAAUAUGACCAUAAAUUACGAACUCUUUUGAGUUAAAUAUUUUGGUAACAAAAUAUUUAAAUAACUUUGGUUUAUGGAAACAGUUUAGGGAUUGGGAAAAGGGUGAUUUAUAUUAUACAUUAAUAAUAUAAUACGAACUAAAAGAUGUCAUUAUCUUAUUUUCCGACGAAAGGUUUCUAGGCGAC
RNAcentral lists this ribosomal RNA (511 nucleotides) under uncultured bacterium. RNAcentral's name for it is "partial 16S ribosomal RNA". The stretch from base 1 to 385 matches the Rfam family "Bacterial small subunit ribosomal RNA", at positions 117 to 537 of the family's 1533-position model. The record is from RNAcentral.